This 253-nucleotide ribosomal RNA is filed under the name uncultured bacterium. Its description in RNAcentral is "partial 16S ribosomal RNA". It matches the Rfam family "Bacterial small subunit ribosomal RNA", at positions 524 to 776 of the family's 1533-position model. The record is from RNAcentral.
UACGUAGGUGGCAAGCGUUAUCCGGAUUUAUUGGGUGUAAAGGGCGUGUAGGCGUGAGCGCAAGUCAGAUGUGAAAACUCAGGGCUCAACCCUGAGCCUGCAUUUGAAACUGUGUUUCUUGAGUGCUGGAGAGGCAAUCGGAAUUCCGUGUGUAGCGGUGAAAUGCGUAGAUAUACGGAGGAACACCAGUGGCGAAGGCGGAUUGCUGGACAGUAACUGACGCUGAGGCGCGAAAGCGUGGGGAGCAAACAGG